CUGAGAUUUAACUUUACAACAGAUGGAUACUGGAGGACAUAGUCAAACCAUAGCACUUUCCUAAGAGAUGCGCAUUCCAGGCCAUCUGGCUAGCAAGGCAGGCAAGCAGAUCUCUCUGCCCAAGGACAUAAAGAACCUUAGACAAAUAUACGGCCAUUGGAAGUGAAGUACAACAAAGGGGAAAGCCCUAGAUUACAAAUGGGGACUGCUACAUUCAUCAUGUGUACUGGAAGCUACAUGAGCCAAAAGUUAUUUCUGGGAGAUAAUCACAGCCUGACACUAAAGAAUUGUGUAUCUUCUGGCAAUAGCUCCCUUUUCCAGGUAUUUUUGGAUUUUUCCAAGAAUUUAAAUGUAUUUCACAGGUUAAAUCAAAAUGGUAGGCUUUU
RNAcentral lists this long non-coding RNA (386 nucleotides) under Rhinopithecus bieti (black snub-nosed monkey). RNAcentral describes it as "lncRNA (ENSRBIG00000046780.1)". Lineage: Eukaryota; Metazoa; Chordata; Mammalia; Primates; Cercopithecidae. The record is from RNAcentral.